This 253-nucleotide ribosomal RNA is filed under the name uncultured bacterium. RNAcentral describes it as "partial 16S ribosomal RNA". It matches the Rfam family "Bacterial small subunit ribosomal RNA", at positions 524 to 776 of the family's 1533-position model. The record is from RNAcentral.
UACGUAGGUGGCAAGCGUUGUCCGGAUUUACUGGGUGUAAAGGGCGUGUAGCCGGGCUGACAAGUCAGAUGUGAAAUCCGGGGGCUCAACCCCCGAACUGCAUUUGAAACUGUUGGUCUUGAGUAUCGGAGAGGCAGGCGGAAUUCCUAGUGUAGCGGCGAAAUGCGUAGAUAUUAGGAGGAACACCAGUGGCGAAGGCGGCCUGCUGGACGACAACUGACGGUGAGGCGCGAAAGCGUGGGGAGCAAACAGG